RNAcentral lists this ribosomal RNA (499 nucleotides) under uncultured bacterium. Its description in RNAcentral is "bacterial SSU rRNA". It matches the Rfam family "Bacterial small subunit ribosomal RNA", at positions 8 to 503 of the family's 1533-position model. The record is from RNAcentral.
AGAGUUUGAUCAUGGCUCAAGAUGAACGCUGGCGGCGUGCUUAACACAUGCAAGUCGAACGGGGAUGCUUAUGGAAGGAGUGCUUGCACUUUGGAAAUGAGUAUCUUAGUGGCGGACGGGUGAGUAACGCGUGGGUAACCUGCCCCAUACCGGGGGAUACCACCUGGAAACAGGUGCUAAUACCGCAUAAGCGCACGGGAGCGCAUGCUCCUGUGUGAAAAACUCCGGUGGUAUGGGAUGGACCCGCGUCUGAUUAGCCAGUUGGCAAGGUAACGGCCUACCAAAGCGACGAUCAGUAGCCGGCCUGAGAGGGUGGACGGCCACAUUGGGACUGAGACACGGCCCAAACUCCUACGGGAGGCAGCAGUGGGGAAUAUUGCACAAUGGGGGAAACCCUGAUGCAGCGACGCCGCGUGAGUGAAGAAGUAUUUCGGUAUGUAAAGCUCUAUCAGCAGGAACGAGACAAGACGGUACCUGACUAAGAAGCCCCGGCUAACUA